This 292-nucleotide ribosomal RNA is filed under the name uncultured Planctomycetota bacterium. Its description in RNAcentral is "uncultured planctomycete partial 16S ribosomal RNA". Lineage: Bacteria; Pseudomonadati; Planctomycetota. The record is from RNAcentral.
GGACUACCCGGGUUUCUAAUCCCGUUUGCUCCCCUGGCUUUCGCGCCUCAGCGUCAGUAGAGAUCCAGCAGGUCGCUUUCGCCACCGGCGUUCCUUCCGAUAUCUACGCAUUUCACCGCUCCACCGGAAGUUCCACCUGCCCCUACCUCCCUCUAGCUCGCCAGUAUCAGGGGCACUUUUCCGGUUGAGCCGAAAGAUUUCACCCCUGACUUGGCAAGCCGCCUACGCGCCCUUUAAGCCCAGUGAAUCCGAACAACGUUCGCACGGUUCGUCUUACCGCGGCUGCUGGCAC